This 430-nucleotide long non-coding RNA is filed under the name Homo sapiens (human). Its description in RNAcentral is "non-protein coding lnc-KLF6-13:1". Lineage: Eukaryota; Metazoa; Chordata; Mammalia; Primates; Hominidae. The record is from RNAcentral.
CAUUCAUUUUUCUCCAGGGAAAUUAGAAAUUUCUUAGAAAUGACCUCUGUUGGAGCAGCACCAUGGAAAAAUAUCUUCACCACAAACAACUCCGUUUCUCAAGUAUGCAGAGCCAUUGAUGCAAAAUGCAUUUGACUCAUCGUUGGAAGAGACGUUAUAUUUAGUGGUGGAGCUGGUAGGAUAUUUUUAGAAAUAGUAAAGUUCACAGAAUUUUUAAUGUGUUGAAGGUCUUUAGAAGAUAAGGUUUUUAGGGAUAUUUCACAGAAAAGACGCUUCAAUGCUGAUCAAUCUCUACACUUGCCACUAUGUAAGUACAAUGUCCAGAAGUUUUAUGCUUGAAGAAAUGGGUCUUCUGCAAUAAAGCACUAUUCAUAGGACACCUUAUCAUGUAGGCAUCCGAAAUGUCUAAUACAAACACCAAAGAAAAAUA